GCCCGGGUGGCUCAGUCAGUUGAGCGUCUGACUUCAGCUCAGGUCACGAUAUCACGGCUUGUGGGUUUGAGCCCCACGUCGGGCU
Molecule: transfer RNA, 85 nt
Filed under: Felis catus (domestic cat)
Lineage: Eukaryota; Metazoa; Chordata; Mammalia; Carnivora; Felidae
Rfam family: tRNA
About the family: Transfer RNA (tRNA) molecules are approximately 80 nucleotides in length. Their secondary structure includes four short double-helical elements and three loops (D, anti-codon, and T loops). Further hydrogen bonds mediate the characteristic L-shaped molecular structure. tRNAs have two regions of fundamental functional importance: the anti-codon, which is responsible for specific mRNA codon recognition, and the 3' end, to which the tRNAs corresponding amino acid is attached (by aminoacyl-tRNA synthetases). tRNAs cope with the degeneracy of the genetic code in two manners: having more than one tRNA (with a specific anti-codon) for a particular amino acid; and 'wobble' base-pairing, i.e. permitting non-standard base-pairing at the 3rd anti-codon position.
Source: Rfam by way of RNAcentral